This 1382-nucleotide long non-coding RNA is filed under the name Triticum aestivum (bread wheat). Its description in RNAcentral is "long non-coding RNA (TAES_LNC018458)". Lineage: Eukaryota; Viridiplantae; Streptophyta; Magnoliopsida; Poales; Poaceae. The record is from RNAcentral.
ACUAAAGGAUCUUCCAUCAUUUACUCCUAGCCUUCUGUAUAUUCACUGGGAGCAAAAAAAAUGAGAUCAGAUUCCAUCAAAAUCGCAUGCAAGUUAGCAGACACCAUAAACCAAGUAAUAUGCUCCAGGAAAGUCAAAAGAUUCAGAUGUGCACACUACUAACUCCAAGAUGCACCAAAGAGGAUGAAGCCAACUGAAUGCCAGUUCAAACUGAAAGCUGCCACAAAGACCAAAUCAUCAAUAAUAUGUGUCAGAAUCGCUAAUCAGAAGUCAAAACCAUCGGGGAAGCAGACACAGUCGAGGCUGAUGGCUUCACCAAGUCCCUGCACCAACUGACGUUUUACUAUACUUUCCAACUCUACAAUCUUGCACUAACACCUCCAACACUGCAAAUGCACGAACAACCCAAAUAAAAGGCAUACUUCAAAAAUUCUUCAGAGAAAGUGAGGCGGAAUUAUGAAGUCUAUGUAGAGAGUACUAAGAUUUUGAGGUUGUAGGAAACUCUUCCAUCCAGAAGCCCUGAACUCUGUGGAUCAAUUUGAAUACUCAGACUAACAACUCAGGAAACUGGUUUUCUAACCGACAAAAUAGAAAAAAUACGAAAUUAGAUCUGAAGACAGAUUUUCAUGUAGCAUGACAUGCUCUUAUCUUAUAUGCUCUUAUGGUAUAUGCCCUCAAACUUGAUAAUAUGGUAAAACUGUUCACUUAGGAGACUUGAUUGCACACUCUAAUUUGCCAAAGUUUAUAUGCUUGGAAGAGAAAAACUGUAUAACAAAUGGAUAUAAAACCAAAGUACCAAUGAGUGUGCCUCAUCCUUCCCGCCAGGAAGCUCUAUUUAUGAGCAUCAAAUAGACUAUUUCCACUUGGCAGCAAGGCAUACUAAUAGGCACACAAAAAGUUAACCUGUACAUGAUGUUUAUCUCUUAUAAUAUCAUCUUUGCAAAGGGAAAAAAUGCAGAACAACCAAAUAAAAGCUUAGUAUUGUUAUCUAAAACAGUAGUACAUCAUAAAAUCACCUAUCGUAUCAUUUGUUUUCCACCAAAUCUUAUUUCCAUUGUCUAGCAUAACAAAUCAUCACAAAUCAUCGAUCCUCUGAUCAUGAAACAUGCCCAACCAAAAUAUAAAAAGCAGAAAGGUAAUAUAUUCUGGGUGCAUGAUGGAAGGGCAACAUGAGCUAAAUUUUAUUGUCUCAUUUUAAAGUGUAAAGCAUGGAUUGCACAAUUGCACACGGAAAUUAAGGAGAUAUAUGUGCAGAGCAGGGUCCGCACGGACCUUCGGAUCAGCACCACCAAGCAUCAAAUAGAGGCAGAAAGAAAUCCAUGGUAUGUCAGAAAAUUCAGUUGCUAGUUUGCUACUACACCAUGCUUCAUCACACACGUACU